RNAcentral lists this long non-coding RNA (229 nucleotides) under Elaeis guineensis (African oil palm). RNAcentral describes it as "long non-coding RNA (EGUI_LNC075214)". Lineage: Eukaryota; Viridiplantae; Streptophyta; Magnoliopsida; Arecales; Arecaceae. The record is from RNAcentral.
GGUUAUCUUGGGCUCACUUUGAUGAUCGAAAGAUCUGUUUAGCCCAAAGAGUGUAUGGGUUAGCAAGAAUACACCAAACACACUUAGCCAUCUUUUUAUUGACAAUAAAAGAAGUAGAAAGAUAUCUAUAAUAUCCUAACCCAAUUUGACCUAGCCCAUUUCGAAUAGGGCCCAACAAGGCCUUUGCACAGAUUUGAAGCAUUCAAAAAAGAAGAAGAAGAAACAACGG